Molecule: non-coding RNA, 15447 nt
Organism: Anas platyrhynchos (mallard)
Lineage: Eukaryota; Metazoa; Chordata; Aves; Anseriformes; Anatidae
Source: RefSeq, a predicted model, not a curated record
GGAAGUCUUUCCUGGAGGCCCCAGGGAGCUCUCUGCAGAAAUCUUGGCAGCUGCUGAGCUCAACUGAAAGUCGACUUGAGAGAAAGGAUAUCUAUGCUCAAGGGGGAGAGCACAUACGGUAACGAGAAGAUCCGGCUUGACCCAAAACUCCACCUCAGAUCUCCGGCUGGCUUAAAGGUCAUACUUCCCAUCACAAACAAGAUGAGCUCAUUCAAGGAAAAGAGGCGAAGCUGAGAAAGAGAAGUGGGCUGUCACGUUCUGCCCACGGAAGCCCUGGGUUCCUGGCAGCUCACCACUAGCUUAUUCAAUUCCUGUAGGUUGGAAGGUUAUCCAGCUGGCUUGUGCGUCCAAGCCCUGAUGGUCGUCCCCUGCAUGGGAGUUGUAAGAUGUUAGACAUAUAUUGGGUGGUGCUGACAGCUGCAUGGUGAGUAUAUGGAAUAUAAAUAAACAAUGUAGUGUCAGAUGCUCUGGGUUGCUCGAUGGCUGGCCUGGCCCCUUGCUCUCAGCUCACACCUGUCAAAGUGAGUCUCUCUGGAGGCUUGCACUGCGAGCUGAAAACUGAGCGUGAAUCAUGACUUCUGGAUUCCUGUUGUACCUGUCUACACAUCCUUAUGUACCUUCAAGGCUCAUUUUUCCUCCUCUGCGUAACAGACUGAUCAUCCAAUUAGCGUGGGAAGGGAAAUUAGGAACCAUCCAACUUCAGAACAACUCUUUGUUUCCACUUCAUCCAGCAUUAACCUACCCUACCUCUGUAGGGAGCCAUAAUGCUUUCCUAACCACAACACUUACUUAGAGUAGCUUGCAGUGCUGGUUUAACGUCUCAGAUGUUCCAUGUGCACUUUGAGACUUCUGUGAAACUAUGUACAGGAUUUCUGAGUCAUUUGCUACUUGUCAGGUAAAAAUUAUUUUCCAGUUGUUUGCUAUUUCAUAUUACAAGACAUAAAAUAUUUUUGCAGGUCCCUUCCAACUGAACUACUCCAAUUGCUAAUGAUUUCUAAUUCCUAAUUCCUAAUUUUAAGUGUGUUAUAGCCUUCUGUCUUCACUGACUAUGGCUCCCUCAGACUGUAUUCUUGCAUUCAGACUCUUCACGUUAUCAUUUAUUUUAAAGCAACACUGUAGGAAUCUGUUUCAGGGAGUCACUGGACCAUCCUGCCAGAGCAAAUUGUCACCACAAUGGGGGGUGAAUCUGAUUUGCUGAAGCCAGCACUGUUUGAAGUGGAUUGGGCUUUGAUUAGAAGCAGUUUGCUGAAGUUUCUGUAAAUGAACCCGUGGAAGCAUAGAAAUUGUAAACUGUGAUGUGUACAUAUGAACUAUGGGAAAAAUUGUGCAUUUUCUCCCAGAAUACCCAUGCUAUGUUAAAAUACUCAUAAAAUACUAGUAACUGGGAACAGAAAAUUUCUUCCAAUGUAGAAAGUGAGUAUUUCUGAAAAAUAACUUACAUUGUUUUCUGGGAGAACACAAAGAAGACUGAAGAGGUAUGGAGAAGAGUUUGAUGUUAAUACUAGCAGUUGCAGUACUAAUACAAUGAAAAUGGAAAUUGUAACACUGCAGUGGAGAGACCGUGUAGGAUUUGUUAAGACCUUGUGAUAAAUGGCUCACAGUCUCAGUGGAGAGGUGCAUGUUUUGCCAUCUCCUUCUUCCUAGAGUAGAGACACCAGCUUUACUUGGUUUAGGUAGAAAAUGAUUCAUUGUCCUUGAGUUGCAUCUUGCCUGUAUUAAGCACCAGAAACUUCACAUUGAAAAAUAUGAGAGCUAACCAAGGAGUUACCACUCUGCAGAGAUGUGACUCUUCUGCCUUUUUCCUCCUCAUACUGAGCCCACAGUCAGCCCACUCCAGCUUUGCGCUGCAUUAACACUGUGGAGCAGGCUUUUCCAAUUAUCAGGAGUGAAGAAAAAAGGAUUUCACAAACUUAGUAAAAGGAUUUUUGAAAUCUUUAGGACAAGGACAGGAAUCCGCAUUCCCCACUGCUAUGGCAGUCCUUUAACUGGUGAGAAUAUUGAAUUGUCUCCUGUGUAAGCAAUGAUUUUAGGAAAGGAAAGCCUGUGAAGGCGGUCUGGAAUCUUGCAGGCUGCUUUCCCUUGAGCUGCUCCACUGGACUGAUCACAGCAGAGACAACUGAUGCAUAAUUCAAGGAGUUCAGAGCUGAGCUAAGAAAAAGCAAGGCACUGAGAGUUCCCACAUGCCAUGUAAUUGUCGGGUAUCCCAAGAGCUGGGCAGUAUAAUUAGUCUGAAGAGUGACAGAACAAGACACUGAACAACCAGCUUCUGAUGGCUACAGCACCACACUCCUGGCUUACUGCCCAGACACCUGGCAGAGCCCACAGUUCCUUCUCGUUAACCCUGGAAAUGCAGUCUAAUGUUGGGUCAUUUGAGAGCAAAGCCUAUUGCUCUGCUCCUGCUUCUAGAUUCAUAUGUGUCUUUCCAUCCUCUGGUAGCUUCUGCUAUUCCUUGGGCUUGUUGUUUGACAGUAGGCUGUAGGUUAAGGUUGUGCUUGGAAGCUUGUCUUUAAAUAAGAAUGUUGUAUCUUCCAUCCCAGGGUGGGAAAGGUUCCUGCUCCAUCAUAGUGAACGUGAGCACCUGCCUUAAACCAACCAUGGAGGGGGGCAGAAUCCUUCACUGCUGUAGUCCAAACUGCUCCAGGCCAUAGUUUGUUGAGGAAUUAAAUAGCAAGGACAGCCCUCACAAUAGUUAUUUGUCUUCUAAAGGAGUCUUGGGAAACUUAUCUACCUAUUUAAUUUGCUGCAAAAUAUGUUUCAUAUCUCUUGAGGUGCAAUACUGAAGGUUCAAAAAGUUAAGGUAACAGAAAAAAAUAAAUUGUUUGUCUUCUUGGUCAUGUACUGUUGGUCACAGUUUGAAUUAAGACUUAACUCUGAAGGAAAUUUCUGUCCUUACAGCUCCAUUUCCACUAAGGCCAGACGUGUAAAUUCUUAAACACCUUGUAUCUUGGAAGCAUAUAUUGAAACAGAUUAAGUUUGCAGGAGGAGAAAAGAGCAAAAGCCAAAUAUAUGCUCUAGUUGUAUAUUGGAAAAACUUGACAGAGCACUGUUUAGUAUCAGGUAGAGAUUUCCAGAAUAUUAUUACUACCUUAAUUAUGCUUCAGAGCAGAGCCAUGUAUUCUGCUUUUUACGGGCAUGGGGAAAGUAGAAACACAAUGAAUCAACCAUCUCUCUUCUUUUUCUUGACCAACACUUCCUAAAGAGGAAACCAGAACUUUGUAUAAAAAUCUGUUGUCAUACAGAUGAAGUAAGUACUUUAAUUAGAUUUUGUUGUAUAAUGCAGAUACACUAGAAUUUUUGCAUACUUCUACUGUAUUUUCUAUUUAUGCUAUUUUCAUGAAUAUUAUAUUUAUGUGUUGUUUUUUGUUGUUGUUGUUGUUUGUUUGCUUUACUGUUUUGUUUUUGUUUUUCAGUAAACCAUCUGCAACUUUUAUUCUUACUACUAGCAUUGGACUAUAAAGACUCCCAUUCUUGGCAGUUGUCUCUCUCUAUAUAUAGAAUAUAUAUUUAUACAUGUAUAUGUUUUCAGUUCAAGAUUUAGGUUAUGCUUAUAGUAAGGUGAAAAUUUACCCUCAUCAAUUAUCAGCAAAGAAGCUGUGUGGGAUUCUUUUAUUUUUUAUUUUUUUCCCAUAAGCUAUCAUUUCAAAUAACUUGCAUGUAUGAGCUGAAUACAUUCCCUAAAUACUUUGCCUUUUUCAAAAUAAUCUUAAUUUUUCUGCUUAGGUGCCCUGAGACUGGGGCAGAGAUGCACAAACUUAAACCAGUAGCAGGUUUUCAGCUCUUUGAUCGUCAUUUCCAGUACUGCUAAGUCUUCAUAGCGAAGACAAUAUUUCUCUAUUCCUAGAUUUUAUGGCAGUUGGGUAAAUAUGAUCUCAGAUUUCCUUUUAUAAAAGCAUUUCUCAUAAAUUGCCUGGAUACAAAUAAAUGCUGGAGAACACAAAGAGUUUUUCUUUGAAAAGAAAAGGCAAUAGAUUUUUUGUCAGUUAUGAAUUUUAAGCCAACAUUGUGAUUCAGGAGCAUGUGCUGAAACAAUGUUAAUAGGUUGCCUGCACAAAGGCACCUUCUCUAAAAUGCAGUCUUAAAAAAAUAGACUCAAGUGGCAUCUCUUGUGUCUCAAAGGUGUACAUGCACAUACAUAAAGAUCAUUCCUGGGCCAAAAAGGUACACACAGCUUUAAUUUUUCUAAUAUCCUCUGAAAGAAUGAAAUAAGCUGCUACCUUGGUGAUAGGACUCAUGUGAAACCAUUUUUUUGAUUUUUUAUUUUUAAUAAGUCAGGACAGCAGGACAAAGAAGAGAAAAAUUCAAUUUUCUUCACUGUAAAUCAGUCUCUAAAGGCUAUUAGCACCUGAGGAAGGUGAGUGAAACUCUUUACAAUGUGCUGCCAUUAACAGCUACUUUAUCGCCAUAUCUAUGUAAUGAAACAAGCACUACUGAGGCUAGAAAUGCAGAUUCUUUUCCCUUGUGAUUCCCAGUCAAUAAAUACUGAGCUGCAGUUUUGGGCUUCCUAGGCUUCCUACUAUGAGAGAUAGGGCAAAAGAAAAAUUCCAGUCAUGAUAUUUUAAUGUGCCCCCAAAGAUGCCAGUAUCACUAAAAAAGAGGAGAGAACUAAAUAAGGCCAAAUUACUUUUCUUUUUUUUUUUUUUUCCCAUGAGGCCUUUUAAGAGACACUUGAAGAAAUGGACUUAAGGAGUCUAAUUCUUUGACAAUGUGCCUCUACAAGUAGGAGGUGCCUCUUGAAACUUGUCAAAUUUUAAAAAUCAGUCUUAUCAUUAAAAAUAUCCCAGAAGAUCAUGCCUGGAAUAACAAUCAGAAGAGACAGAUUGAUUAGCGCUAUAGCUACUACAGUAUAGUAGGAAAAGCUGCAAGGGUUUUGUUCAGGACAACUUUCGUACUUUGAUUGGAACCAAACUCUGUUCUCCUGCUUCAUCUUUCUGAUUUUUAGUAUUCAGUGGCUGUGGGCCAUGUUCUGCUCUUAGCUGUUGCAGAAAAAGAAUAAAUAAAUCACCAAACCAAACACAGAAUGAGCUGAAGACAGACAAUUUGCUCUGGACCCUCUAUGUGUGAAGAUGACUCUUUAUAUACUGUAUUUCAAGGCAUUUUGCUAGGUACCUUUUAUGAGAGAGGCCAUUUGUGGCAUGUUAUGCAUGCAUGUUAUGCAAGACACAGCUGCAUUUACUAACAGCAUGGUUAAAACAGCAAAUCAAGCAUUCCUUAAUUGGGCCGCUCCAGGUUUAUCCUCCAAGCUGCAUGCCUGGAAAGGCCUCAAUAUCACAAAUUUCUAUACUAAUUGUACUAGGGGCUUUGCUAAAUUCUCCAAAUCCAGUCACUUAUAGGGAGCCUGGCCCUUUGGGGCCUAAGCGCCCAAAGCUCAUUAAAAUCCAGCAGCCCUACAGAUGUCCAUAGCAGUGGACCUUGAAAUAUGUCCCCAGUUAACAGCUCCCACAUUGAGAGUCCCAGGAGCUCCUCUCCUCCUUCCCCCAAUAGGCUUUGUAUGCUUUUAUUAAUUUAUGCUCUCUGGAAAUAUACUGGGGCAAGAUCUUUAGCUUGUGGGCCCCUAGCUCCAUCACUGUGUGUUUACAAGGUGAGAACACUUGCCGUCAACCAUGCCGGCAUGGGGAUAUCAUGGUUUUAGGCUGUGUCCCUACAGAGUUGUGGCACUGCUUGGGCAGGCACAAAGGCUCUUUCUUCUUUGUGUAGCUGUGCUGUUUUACAGCUGUCCCCAGCCCUGGCAGCCAAACUUCCAGGAAGAAGGAAGCUCCAGGCCCAGGCAUCAGCCUCUGUUCAAAAGUUUCAGAGCAAAUGUUUUGUGACUCUUCAAACCAACACCUCUGCAGUGUUAGGAUUACUGUCUCAGUCUGAUUAUGACCUGGUGCCAAUGCCUCAAAUUUUAGUGGGAAUUACUAUAUAGGGCAGACUACCAUUGAGAAAGUAUUAAGUAGAGAAUUGAAGAGGCCUCAUAAAGCACCUCAGGAUGUUCAAUGGACAGUUUGCCUCCAAACACCCUCUCACAGAGUAUAUCAAAUCUUCUCUCGGUCUGUGGGGGAAUGACACUUUAUUAUACUUUACUCGCCAUGUAAAACUGUGCUCAUUUCAUCAUCUACAAUUUAGGAGAUUCUUGCAACUAUUAGAACAGUGUCUGAAUAUGGUGGAAGUUAUUUACAGGUUUCAGUGUGGGAUUAUAUCUUUAUGAUGAAAAGUUCUUUAUGUGCCUCUCUUAAUUUAAGUAGGGCCAAAUUUCUAGUCCUUUUAAACUGCUUGUCAUCUGCAAGGCUAUCCCAAAGGUGGUCCAAAUUAAAACCAACCAAACCAAACAAGAAACAACCAACAAACAUUUCCUGUAAGAAUCUGGGGGAUACUUAAGUUAUUAGGCAACACUCGCAGUGUCACCAUUUUGUAUAUAUCAUAGAUAGGCUGCUUGAAGUCAUUUAUUGGUAAACUCCAGCACUUGCACCUAAACAGGUUCAGAAAGAUAAUAAAAAAGCACAUGUACUAGCGUAACAACUGCAGUAGGAAAUAUGUAGUGAGUUAGGUUUACAACCAGUCUGAAUACCUGAACCCAGACACCUGACAUGGCAUUUUAUAGUAAAGUGGAGCUUGGCACAUUGCAGAGACAGUCAUUUUAGGAGGGGCAAAGUUCAAGUAUUGGCUGAUAUUAAAAACCUGUGUCUAAGGUGCUUGUGGGACAACUGCAGGAAAUGGUUUGUAACAGUCUGAUUACCUUUCAAGUGGAAUUGUACUUAACUAGCUGGAAAAAAAUAAGAAAGGACAAGAAAAAAAAAGAAAAGAAAACCAAAAGAAAAUUUAGAAAAUAACAAUAAUUAAGGCAGCCUGACAUCUGUUGUAAUUCACGUGGGAAAACUGAUUGAAACUUGGUCUUUGGAGACUUAUGGAAACCUGCUAUUGGAGUUACUAUGCAGAUUAAAUUUUUAUCUGUUGUCCUUAUUAAUGAUACACAAGUGCCACUGCCACACUGUAUAAUGAAAAAAAAAAGUCUUAGCCAAGUGAAGAGAAAUUAAAUUGACCCAUUCUAUACUUUUGGUCAUUCUAUCAUUAAAUUUUUAGCAGUUUGGUUCAGUGUCAUAUUAGUCUGUGGAGUCAUAAUGAUAGUUCUGAGAUGUUCUUUAGUGUCCUACAGUCCCAAGCCUUAAUGACUUAAGUAAUUUAGAAUGUAAAUGAGCUAUUGUUAAAAAUUGAAUGUGUCGUUGAUAUUAUGAAGGAAAGGAAUUCAAAACAGUCCAAAACUGGUUAUUACUUCUAUUUAGAUCCAUUAUUAGUACUAGUAAAUCCUACAAAUAGCUAAACAGCUAAACAACCACUUAGAGGUUUGUUCUCCUUUACCUAAUUUGUAAAUCUUCUCCUAAUUAAGCAAGGUAAAGCAUGCAUACCUUUCCUUUCCUUGAACAUUAACCAAAAACCAGCACAAAGCCUUGUUUGGCUUGUAAUUCUGGUUUGCAACAUAUCAUUUUGUGGCAUUAGGUUAGAAAAGAGAGGGAAAGCAAGGUUUGCUAGAGAACAAGGAAGGCUCUUCUAACAGCAUGGAGUUAUUUGCCUUUUAAAAGUGUCUUUUGUCAGCACAAUGUAGCUCUUUUAGGCUGAUGUUCUUCAGAGUCCACCAUUUACAUGCAGGUUAACAUGAAGUAACUACUGCAGUACCGAGAUACCAGCAAAACAGCAUGGUAGACUUGUGUCCCCUGCGUAGUCAGAGCUGAUGCAUGUUGGUCAUCUACUGGUGACCAGUACAAGCAUCUCAAACUAUGUCUACUUUCUAUUGGUAGCAUAAAACCAAGAUUGUGUGUACCUAGGCUAUUCAAAACCCACGAUUGUGUGUACCUAGGCUAUUCAAUUCUAGUCUGUUCUAUUUGACCUUCUGUAGGCCAGAGCAUUGGCCCCUGUUGAUCAAGGCAUUGCACCACCUAUAGUCUUUGGAAAUGAUCUGGGUUGAAAAUGGGAGAUUAUAGGGCAAUAUUAUUAAGACAGAUUUGGCUUUGACAAUGAACUGCAUUUGGGUCUGGUAUAAAGGUAUAAGAUCAAAUACUGGGGUGUCCGCACUUAGACCAUUCAUAAAUUUAGACCACCAGCUCAAGAUUUUUCUUAGCAAUGCCAAUGCUGCCUCCUUGAAGCUGAAGACUUUCACAGCCUGCUGUUAUAAAUACUGUUACCUAAAACCCAGUCCGACUCAAAGCCACAGUUUUCUUUAUGUCUUAAAACACAUAUCAGUUAUUUCAACAUAUGGAAUUCAGUAAAGAUGGUGUAAAGCAUUAAGGUUUUCAACAGACACCUGAUUUUGGAGGCAGCAGCAGAGAAAGCUGUAUAAUCAAUUCAAAUUCACACACUUUUGCAAAAAUAACUAUGUUUUUCCUCAUUUUCUUCCUCCCCAAAGGUGAUUCAUAUUUCUUAAAAUCCAUUUUCUUUUUGGAUUAAAAAAAAAAGGGUUGUGUUCAAGGUAUUAGCAAUAAAAAUCUCAUCAGGCACAAUAUUUUGAAGGCUCACUGAACAGUUUACUUAGGACUAUACUGAGAAUCUGAAAGAAAAUAGCUUCAUGUUUGUAAUAGGUGUGUGGGGUGUGACACUUAAGGGCAAUUCAGCCAUCUAAAUUAGACACCCAACUCCGAGUCACUGGUGAGAGAAGUUCAUGACUGAAGCUUUAACAUUUAUUUAGAUUUUGUGAAUAUUCUGCACCUUAGACAUCUUCAAGAGGUCUGUAAAUUCAGGUGUUCCAUGUCCAUAUAAGACAGCGAUUUUUCUGAAAUCAUGUUUUCUGGAAUUAGGUUUCCCUGGCUUUUAAAGUAUAUUCAGACCUAACUGAGUGAGGACAUACAACGAGUCCAUUUUACAACAAACCAGGUUCCCAGUAUAGUGUGAGUACACUGGUGUUAGGAAGGCAGGAGUCACGUAAAGAGAGCUACUAAAGGAAAAAUAUUUAAAAAAAAAUAUCAACAAGAACAUUUUAAUAAAAUGAACAUUAAUUACUAAUAUGGAAAAGACUGAUCUUAGAUGGUUCGAUUUACAAUUUGAACAGAUGGAGGUCUCUUCUUCAGCUCUCUGGUAACAUUUUUUCAUAUGGAUUAGCAGAGCAAUUUGUUUAGCUAUGCUGUGAGUUUGAAGAAAAGCCUUUGAGCUGCAAUCUCGGCUUCAUUAAUAUCAAUGGAAAGAUUGUGUGACAACCACAGUUUUUCUUACAUAGCUGUGGACAUCCUAAAAGGAAUCCCAAAGAGAAGGCUCAUUCAUUUGGGACUGCAGAAAUGGAUGCUGUCAAAGUAAGGGAAAAUGUGGAAAUAAAAAAAGAAAAUAAGUAAGGAACCUUAUGGUUAUUCUUAAUUUUCAAAGAAUAAAUGUAUCAUAAAACAACAUUCCUAGUUUUAGGUACUCCACCUAUUGCACAAAUGUAACACAAAUAUUGCAGUUGCUUUAAGGCAGUCAUCAAUACAUACAUUCAAAAAAAGAGAAAGAAAAGGGAAAAACAACAAUAAGAGUUUGAGUUGUCCACAGUAUAUGGAAUUAAGCCCGUUUCAGCAUUAAGAAUUCGUAAAUGUCCGUCAGCUGGGGAAGAUGGUAAGUCUGUCUAAAGUAUAGAAGCACUUACAGUUUUUCAGAACUUUAAUCUGGAAAUGUGCAAUAUGAUAUAAAUCAAUUCAAAAUGACUGGAGUGUGUCAAUUUUUGUGGAAGAUAAUAUUCCAACUGACGCUUCUGAAUCAAACUUAAGAGAUACAUAUAAAAAGCAGCACUUCAGUCCCGAAACAGACCAAAAGAUUCAGACUGACAGUCAUGAAAUUAAGCCCUCUGAAAGGGGAAAAUUGCAAAUGACAGUGAUCAGUCAUUCUACAUAAGCAGCCAGGGCAUAUUCAUCACUUGAUAUUACCAAGAGUUUCUCAUAAGUGCUGCCUCCCCUUCAAAUCAGGUCGGAAGCAAUAAAGAGAGGGGUCUGUUCCUCUUCUUCCAUCUAUGAGUCUUGUGACCAUGCACAGAGCCUUGUACCAAUGGAAGGAAGGAGCUUUGCAUCCCUUGUCUCAUUUUUGUCUGCCUGUUGGUUAUAGCCAUGCCUUGGUGUGAUUUACUGCCUUUCUGUCCUCAGGUAGCUGCGAGGGGUUUGCUGGUGGCAGGUGGAUGUGCAUUUGUCUUCUCCCUGUAGCCAAUGGGGAAGGGUUAGAUGCCUCCACAUACUGAAAUAGGAGCCAGGGAAGUCAAACCUGAGAUGGAAAUCUUUGUAAUCUUUUAAUUAAAAGAUUAGAUUUGCAAAUGAGUAAGAAUUCAUGACAACAGAUAUUUUCCCAGGUAAUUCAACCAGGGACUAUUUCCUUCCAGCUUCCUUUUCUUUUUUGUAGAUGAAAAAUAACAUUUUUAAUUUCACAAGUGGGCAGAGUUUAAAAGAGGAGCAGGGUGGGCACCUGAGAAUGGAAACCACCAUAAUAACCCUGCCCAGUCAUUAGGGUAAAAGAGAAUUCAGCCCUAAGUCUUCUGGGGCUAUUUGGGAAGAAGAUGAAAUAAAACUCUAUACGCAGCACAAAAUAUCACAUAGAAAAUAUUCUAUGUGCAAAUUUUCAGCCUUGAGCAAGUAGGCAAUAAGAUUGUCCAAAGAAAAACUUCAGCGGGCGAGCAUUUGGAUAACUUUACCGAUAACUCCUCUCCUCAUCAUAACUCUGUGGUUCUUUCCUCAUUUAAACCUUUAAAAGUCAGAAGCUGUCUCUGAAUUCAGAACUUUUAUCACAAAGGUCUAACGACAGAAAUGUCAGGUCAUGUAUGUCUAGUGAAGUGUUAGCUCUCCAACCCCGACAUACACUGAAGUGGUGGCUUUAAAAUAAAAAUUUCCAAAACAGACACUAAGUAUAUUGACAACUGGUUGGGCUUCAUCAACUGUUAUAUCAGUUUAAAGCUGGUACAGCUCUGUUGUAUCACCUCUGUCAAACCAGGGUAGCAGAGCAGGAGUCCUUCUUUCACCAGGGACUGACCAACAGAUGAACCAGUGAGUGUAUUUUAUAUCUACCUUAGAAAUGUAGCUAUUCAGGUGGCAAUUGUAUUUCCAUUAAAAAGUCCAUUGCUAUACAAUUCUGAAAUAAAUACAUUUUCACUAAUUGCAACCCUCCGUCUCUUUCUUUUAUUUCUAUCCCCUUUUCCUUAGUGACAUUUUUUCUUGUCAGGGAAAGGUCGUGACAUUUCAAGGUGUUCACUUCCCGAAGCAUGACUCCUUGGAGUAAUGAGAUUCAGCUGAUCUGUCAGUAAAAAUCUGCCACCAGGGAAGACAAGCGCAGCAAAAGCAGAGCUCAGAAGCAUCCACCCGUGGUCACUGCGAUGGCCAAUGAUGUUGAUGGUGAUGUUGAUGGCCGCCCAUGAUCUCGGUGUUGUUACUGGGUUGUCCGGAAAGGACACGAGAUACAUGAUUCUGUGUCACUGAGUUUUGUUAUUAUCUUAACCUCUGUUUUCAAGCAUCCUGCUAAUUUACAUAGUGAUUCAAACUCAGACUAACUUUGUGUUGUUUUAACCUUAAACAAGGUUGUGUCAAAAUUCACCGUAGAGAUUUUUGGUUCCUUGGAGAGUAUAAUUAGACUUCAGACCACGAGAGUCAGCUUGAUCUUUCCUGACUGAAAUUUGUAGGCCUUUUUAUAGGUGGAGCAAGAUGUGAGCUCUCGCCUUCUUAACCCCCACAGAGCCUGCCAGCCAGCAACAUCAGCUGAACAAUCCUUGUCAGAAUUUUCUGUGGCUCUUGGAGGGAGAAGAGAUGCAAUUUGACCACAUACAUACUGUAAUCGUCUGGCCUACUAUAUAGUAUUACAAAGUAUUAUAUAGCCAGCUUCCCUUUUAGCUGCUGUUGUGCUUUAGGCUGAUGGUUUUUCUUUUGAAAAGUUCCCUUCAUUUUAUAGCACAUUUAAAAAUAACCAACAUAUAUUAAGUACAUAAAUUAAUAUAAAAAUUGAUUAAGUAUUAUAUGGUGUAAUUAUUAAAUUAGACUCUUAAUAUAUACUAAUAAUAUAUAAAUGUGAUUAUAUGUUAAAUAAUUAAUGUUUAUUAAUGCAUAUUACAUACAAUACAUAGUUUAAGCAUGCAGUUUGAAUUAAUUUGUUAAUUUGUGACAGAACUCUCAGCUUCAUAGUUUGCUUGGUCUUUCUGACACGCUUGCUUUCUGAGUCUUCAUUUCUAAUAUUUAGCAGAAGACACAAAUGAUAACUUUUUACUUAUGUCACCAAUAAAACUGUUGUGUUUUUUUUUUUUUUGUUUUAUUUACAUAGAUUAUAUGUGUGUUUGAGGAGCUCUUUCAGCGGAGAAGACAGCAAUAUAAAAUCUGAAGUUAAAGAAUUUAGGAAGGAAAAUCGCAUUACUGUAAGAUGAAUUGAUCUUUCCCUGAAGGAUAUGACACCUUAUGCUCUUCCCAACAGCUAAAGCUUUUUUGUCCUAAGCUUCCAAGAACAUUUAAAAGAAAAAGAGAAAAGCAUGCUUUUCUCCUGGUUGUCAUUUUUGUGAUUUUUACCUACUAGGAUAUGAUCACCCACUUUAUUCUGCUUUGUUCCCGGGCUUUGGCAGCCAGCAGGUCUGUUAUGUGGGCUCCUCAGCACCCAGCCCACCAGGACGCUGGGCUGUAAGGCACAGGGUGUCCCUCACAUCAGUGAGCAACACAAAAGCUUGCGAGUGAAUGAAGCUGACAAAAAUGCUGGUGUAAUGGCAAAUGUCCUGACAGCAGUUUCCAGCAUCUCUUCCACUUUGCAGCAGUGAUUUCCCAGUGACAGAAUAGUGCUCUGCAUAACCCAAGCAGAAAGAGGGGCAGCUAAAGCACAGGAUGCUGUUGGGUGCACACCCCAGCAGCCAGAUGUGUUUGUUGGGAGCUGGUCAUGCCCCUGAGAAGUGAUGCUGGAGUCCGACCUUGCUAAGUCAGUCUCAGGCUGGCAAACUAACAGAGCUGACUGAGUGAGCAGGAGCCUGAUGCACUUUACCACUCAUGUCUGGCCAAAUGAAGGCUGUCUGGUGCUACUCGUUUCCCUGUGACGCAGGGAAACAGCAACCUGGAGGUCUAAAAGAAAGGAUGGUGUGCUCCUGACACACAGCAUGACUCCUGCAGGCACGUGGGAGUUCUCUACCAGAAAUUAAAUUCACUUUAUUUCAUCUGAUGUAAAGGACAAGAAAAGAAAUUACAAAUAUAAAUGUUUCCUACUGUUUUUACUAAAUUUAUUUCAACUGGCUAGGCUUCUGUUAAAUUUAUUGAGUUGACAAAAAAUAGUGGAAGGUAUGAGAGUGCUGAAGGAUUUCUUUUUGUGUGCCUAUGUAUCACAUAGCCAUAUAUACAGGUAUAUUUUGUUCACAUGAAAGAAAGUAGUAAGCCUGUUUUUUCCACUUCCACUCUCAGUUGUUCAUCCAAAAUGUCUCUAGAAGUCUGAAAAUAAAAUUUCCCUCCUAAUGAUUUUGUUUUUUCCAUCUGCCUACUACUGAUUUUGCUUCAUUUUGUUUUGGCCAGGUAUGAGGUUAACAGUACCUGCUUUUCCUUGAUUUCCUUAGUACUGUGUCAAAGAAUAUUUGUUUCUGUACCAGAAAAAUCAGUUUUGCCAUGGCUUUAGUAACAGCAAUAUUAAUCAUCAUUCCACAUCCAGGCAACAGUGUUCAGUGUAAGUAUGUUCCACUAAAACUUCACUUAUUAAAAAGUAAUGAUCUCAAUAGGAAAAUGCUUUCUUAAAAAGAAAGCUAGUUAUCUAACUACAUGUUCCUGUAAAAAUAUACUUCCAUGCUCCUAAUUCAAAUUAUGCUAUGAAAUCUUUUAGGCAAGAACUGAUUUUUCAAAACUUUUAAAAACUGUGUAUGAAAACCUCUGCAUUUGUAUUCUUUUCAUAGCCCUUACCUCCAUACUAAGAGUAACAAAUAACGAUCCUGACAACUGCAGGGCUGCCACUCAAGAUGCAGAGUGCACCAGCGGUGCAGAGGGUUUGGGUUUAUUUGCUGUUGCAGGGAGAACUGCCACUUGUAGUCGUAGUUGGAAAAGUCUUUAUUUUUCUGUAUUUGUAAACACUUCUGCAUGCUAAGUAGCAUUUUUCAUAAUGUUUUUCCAGGAGGCCCCUGUGUGACCCACCAGAUGCUAUGAGUAGAUGAGCUCUUAAGGAGGAAAACAGGCUGUGGUUGCUGUAGCUUACGUUGGGACAGUUUGCUCGGAGGAUUCAUUCCUACUACUCAUAUGCUGAUUUAAGUUGAUGCGAAGUGAAGCUGGUGACAGCCUGAAGCUCAAAAUCUGGCAAAGAGCGAGCAAGGGACGGUGAGCUGACCAUCAGUGACAUACUUGAGCAGUCUCUUCAGAACUCCACUCAACUUUUAAGAUAAUCAAAACUGUGAUGUGUAUAAAGGUUUUAGUCAUUUCUGAGUUGCAGGUUAUCACUACAAAGCCAUUGAAAAGUUCAUGUGGCAGAUCAUGCUGUCUGGGAUUAGAUAGGUAAGACACAUUACAAAACUCUCCUAUGAAACUUAAUUUUUCAAGACAUUGCCUCCUAGGCUAAUGACUGCAGCCGGGUUGAUCUCAAGAGAAGUGAAAAGAAGAGGUUCUCUCCCAAAAUACAGCUUUGCACAGAAAAAUGUUUUAUCUGUUAAACUUCAGAGAUAGCAUGAGACUCACAGACUCCAAAAAUCUAAAACCAAGCAAAGAGAAAUUUAUUGAACUUUGAGAAUUGGAGGGCAGAGUUGAAGGGCUGAAGACUCUAUGGAUGAUGUUUUUUUUUGUUUUGUUUUGUUUUGUUUUUUUGUGCUCUUCAGCAUUUCAUGGUUGGUUUAAUAAUAAUCAUUAAAAAAAAAAAAAAAAGUUGUAGGCAGUGUAUCCAGAAAUAAUAUCCUGCCAGGUACGCUGCCUCACAGAAUAACCCACAGCAAGAGCAGCUUUGUAGUGCUGCUAAAUUGGAUUGCUAGAAUUGAUUUUGUUUACCAUUAUUUUGACAUAACAAAAUCUAUUAAUUAUUCAUCUGUUGCCUGAUCUAUUAACAAAUACGAUUUAUAAGUAAAAUUGACAUCUCCUGAGUGCUCUGUUCUUAGGAGGAGAAUGAACAAAUUAACCGGGUAAACAGCAGCCUGCAGGGAUCCCCCUCGCCCAACACUUUAGGCAGAGAAUCACUGAAUGAUUCAGGCUGGAAGAGACUUGCAGGAGGGUUGUUCAUUUUUUCUGCUCACAGCAGUCAAUGCUGAAUUAAAACUGUGUUGCUUGGGCCUUUGUCCAGCUGGGUCUUGAGGAUGGAGAUGUCACCUCUCCAACCAACCUGUUCAAGUCCCUUCAGAUGACUGAGCUAAUACUGACGUGGUUUCUGUGCAAAGAUGUCCUCCAGUAGGUAUUAGUUGUACCUCACAAGCAAGCUGUGAGGAAACAUGGUGAUUUUGAGAAUGUUCUCAGAUAAGAUUAAAAAAAUAAAGGGAAAUGUUCAAAAGUGUUUACAUCCCUUCAUCCACCUUCCUUCCUUCCUUCCUUCCUUCCUUCCUUCCUUCCUUCCUUCCUUCCUUCC